GUGCUCGCUUCAGAAGCACUUGCACUAAAUUUGGAAUGAUACAGAGAAGAUUAGCAUGGUCCCUGAACAAGAAUGAUAUGCAAAUUCUUGAAGUACUCCAUAUUUUU
Small nuclear RNA from Balaenoptera musculus (blue whale), 107 nucleotides. The record is from Ensembl. Lineage: Eukaryota; Metazoa; Chordata; Mammalia; Artiodactyla; Balaenopteridae.